Long non-coding RNA from Mercurialis annua (annual mercury), 582 nucleotides. RefSeq lists it as uncharacterized. The transcript is spliced from 3 exons. The record is from RefSeq and is a predicted model, not a curated record. Lineage: Eukaryota; Viridiplantae; Streptophyta; Magnoliopsida; Malpighiales; Euphorbiaceae.
AAACUACUAUAUUAAAACGCAGCGUUUCAAUUGGGGUCUACAUUUGCGACGGAUAUAGAAAUCCGUCGCAAAUGUUGAUCCCAAUUGAAACGCUGCGUUUCAUUUAGGACUACAUUUGCGACGGAUUUCUAUAGUCCGUCGCAAAUGUAGACCUAAAUUAAAACGCAGCUCGCCUUCCCCUUCCCAUUUCUUUCAGAAAAUUAAAACAGAAUUUGAAACCGCUGCCGCCGUUGAACUCUUCCUCCUCCACGCCGCCGUUCAACUCCUUCUCCUCCACGCCGCCGGUCGUUUCCCUCCUCCUCCACGCUGCUCCUUUCUUCUUCUUCACCGUCCGCAGCCGCCAUCAGUGCCUCCUCCUCCACCGACCGCUGCCGCCGUCAGCUCCUCCUCCUCCACCGAGCGCCGCCAUCUGUUCCGCCUCCUUCCCUUCCUCCGGCGACGUCACCUCCGUCCUGCUGCCACCGCCUCCGUCCUGCUGCCACCGCCUCCGUCCCGCUGCCAUAUCGCUGAUAGCCCUUGAUAGCCGCGCACCGUUGUUCCGAGUGAUCCGAGCGUUUCACCUUUUAUUUGCGGUUCUGCCCU